UAGCGCCACACGUUUAAUCCUUUAGUAGGAGUGGGGGACCCGAUCAUUUGGGGUGAAUUUUUCUGUUCCCGUGCGAACCGAAAGACGGACAUCUCUUCGUCCGAACCCGUCAGCUAACCUCAUCAACGUGAAGAGAGUCAUG
Regulatory RNA element from Bacillus licheniformis, 142 nucleotides. It matches the Rfam family "c-di-AMP riboswitch aptamer (ydaO/yuaA leader)". Rfam says of the family: This family represents a conserved RNA structure found upstream of the ydaO and yuaA genes in Bacillus subtilis and related genes in other bacteria. The ydaO/yuaA element is thought to act as a genetic "off" switch for the ydaO and yuaA genes in its native state. The record is from Rfam. Lineage: Bacteria; Bacillati; Bacillota; Bacilli; Caryophanales; Bacillaceae.